Non-coding RNA from Lynx canadensis (Canada lynx), 73 nucleotides. The record is from the annotation of a RefSeq genome assembly. Lineage: Eukaryota; Metazoa; Chordata; Mammalia; Carnivora; Felidae.
GCCUGGCUGGCUCAGUUGGUAGAGCAUGUGACUCCAAAUCUCAUGGUCAUGAGUUCAAGACCCAUGUUGGGCA